RNAcentral lists this long non-coding RNA (1046 nucleotides) under Homo sapiens (human). RNAcentral's name for it is "HSALNT0386334". Lineage: Eukaryota; Metazoa; Chordata; Mammalia; Primates; Hominidae. The record is from RNAcentral.
CCUCUUGCCUCAGCUUCCCAAAGUGCUGGGAUUACAGGCAUGAGCCACAGCAUCCGGCCUCUAAUAGUUUCUUAACUGUCCCUAGGAGGCUCAGAAAUCCUCUUAGGCCCAGGGGUGGGGAUGAACACAGACACCAUACUCACUUCCCAGCCCCUGCCUCCCCCUGAUCCCCCGCCAAGUACUCCCAGAGCAGGGCUGGCCUUCCCAGCAAGGGGGCGGGUGGGAAGGAGGUGAAAGCAGGUGUGUCUGGUGCCACCCUCACCUCCUCCUGGUUUACACAGGACUUCCUGUCAGUGGCUUCCUGUAAUUCUCACUGAACCACCCAGUAAAGUGAGAAGAGCAGCUGUCAUAGUUAUCCUGGAGCAGGCCCAGCACCCAGCCCCAGAGGAUCAUCAGAGACUGACCCGGACACUCCGGGACACUGCUGCACCCAUCACAUCCGGCUGCUGCUGCUCGCAUGGCUUCGGGGUAUAGAAGGACUCAUAACUGGCCCCGUUCAGGGCUGUGGGUGAGACUGCAGUGCCUGCAGAACCCAAGGCCUCGGGAGACGCUGCAGAGCUCAGAUGGGGGACAGUCCCUCCUUUCUUCCCUCUCUUGCAGCCCCACAGCCCCAAAUCCCCCUCAGCCCCCUUCCUACCAUGUACCACAUCCGCAUUCACUGCUGUGCAGGAAUCCCCUUACUCCUUCCUCACAACACCCCAAUGGAAGGGCAGCUGUUAUCACCUCAUCUUAUGGAUGACAAAACUGAGACACAGAGUGGACUAGAAUUUUCCCACAUUUCCUGGCGGGCAGAGCUGGGACUCGAACUGAGGUCAGGCUGCUCCCAGAGCUCACGCUAACCUCCAAAGGCAUUCCUCCCCCAGGGAUUUUCAAUGAGGAGGGUGGAGGGGUGCCCCGGUCCUCAGCUGCAGGAGGAGGGCUUUUGUCUGGGCACAGACAAUCCCAGACAGACUCUUCAGCUCCAAGACAUGACGAUGGGGGUACUGGGAGGCUCUCCUGCAUCCAGCGUCCCCAUUUUACAAAUAAACAAACCGAGGCCCAGAAAA